AACGAACGCUGGCGGCAUGCCUAACACAUGCAAGUCGAACGAUGCCUUCGGGCAUAGUGGCGCACGGGUGCGUAACGCGUGGGAAUCUGCCUUUCGGUUCGGAAUAACCCAGGGAAACUUGAGCUAAUACCGGAUAACGUCGCAAGACCAAAGAUUUAUCACCGAAAGAUGAGCCCGCGUAGGAUUAGCUAGUUGGUGAGGUAAAGGCUCACCAAGGCGACGAUCCUUAGCUGGUCUGAGAGGAUGAUCAGCCACACUGGGACUGAGACACGGCCCAGACUCCUACGGGAGGCAGCAGUGGGGAAUAUUGGACAAUGGGCGAAAGCCUGAUCCAGCAAUGCCGCGUGAGUGAUGAAGGCCUUAGGGUUGUAAAGCUCUUUUACCCGGGAAGAUAAUGACGGUACCGGGAGAAUAAGCCCCGGCUAACUACGUG
RNAcentral lists this ribosomal RNA (433 nucleotides) under uncultured bacterium. RNAcentral's name for it is "partial 16S ribosomal RNA". It matches the Rfam family "Bacterial small subunit ribosomal RNA", at positions 29 to 507 of the family's 1533-position model. The record is from RNAcentral.